Molecule: ribosomal RNA, 401 nt
Filed under: uncultured bacterium
Lineage: Bacteria
Description: bacterial SSU rRNA
Rfam family: Bacterial small subunit ribosomal RNA
Source: RNAcentral
UGGGGAAUAUUGGACAAUGGGGGCAACCCUGAUCCAGCAAUGCCGCGUGAGUGAUGAAGGCCCUAGGGUUGUAAAGCUCUUUCGCACGCGACGAUGAUGACGGUAGCGUGAGAAGAAGCCCCGGCUAACUUCGUGCCAGCAGCCGCGGUAAUACGAAGGGGGCUAGCGUUGUUCGGAAUUACUGGGCGUAAAGGGCGCGCAGGCGGUCAACCAAGUCAGAUGUGAAAGCCCCGGGCUCAACCUGGGAACUGCAUUUGAGACUGGAUGACUUGAGUUCGGGAGAGGAGAGCGGAAUUCCCAGUGUAGAGGUGAAAUUCGUAGAUAUUGGGAAGAACACCGGUGGCGAAGGCGGCUCUCUGGACCGAUACUGACGCUGAGGCGCGAAAGCGUGGGGAGCAAAC